This is a long non-coding RNA of Onychostoma macrolepis, 1846 nucleotides long. RefSeq lists it as uncharacterized. NCBI's taxonomy places the organism in Eukaryota, Metazoa, Chordata, Actinopteri, Cypriniformes, Cyprinidae. The record is from RefSeq and is a predicted model, not a curated record. The transcript is spliced from 3 exons.
GAAGAAUCACACGACAGGGUGAAUCAAUGAAGGCCCCGAAGGGUGCGUUUAUUGAGAGGUGCUCGUGCCAAAGUGUUUGGGUGAGAUAGCCUCGUGCUCCAGGAUCCGCGUGUUUCCUCUGCCUCCGUGGGUGCGUGCUGGGUGCCGGUGCGGGAAUUGUGCCUCGGGGCUGGCCGGUCAGACACUCCUUUCUGCGGGAGAAUGAGAGGAAGAAGCAUUAGAGAGGCAUCCAGACAUCAAAGAUGAGCAGGGUGUGUACUAAAAUCACCGGCAGCAGGCUAGAAGAUAAAACAAGUUGUGCCAGAGGUAAACCAAACAGGGUUCUACUGAAUGUGGCAGCACUUUCUUUACUCGUCAUUAGACAUUUUUCACUAAAGGAAACAGCAAACAUUACACAGACAAUAACAUGAGGAUGACGAUGUGUCAAGCUGUGUUUUGCUGGAGCCUACUUCACAUAGCAGGUAAGAUCUGAUAUGACGCUGAAACAAAUAACAGACAAGUUCUUGUUUGAUAACCUUAUUUUAACCUUGCAGUAAAAUACAAUAAAGUUAUAUUUUGGUUUAAAUUAUGUAGGCCUAUUCGCCACAAGAUGAUGGAACAACUUUUGAUUAGUUAACUUCUAUUAUUUUCUUUGCAACACCUAAAAUUAAUAUCUGAAAUUAAUGUUACCUUUUCGUUAAAAACCCAGAAUAGUAAAGUGCAAUAUCAUUAUUAAUUUAAAGUAAAUGGAAUUAGUUAUUUUUCUAACAUCUUUCUUUAUGCCAUGGUCUGUCUGAAUACUCGAUUCUGAUUGGCUGGCAGGUGUUGAUUAAAUUUGUUGAACUGCAGGUAGUUCCAGGUCAGUUUAAUCACGUUCUAUAUUAAUGCACUUCCUAUAAACAUUGGUAACCAUAGUAACAUACAUAUUUAAUAUGUGAAUGCUGGCAAUGACCAUGGCAUAAACAGGAUAAUCAACGGCUAGCUGUGCAUUAAACAAUUUGAAUGCACUCCGCUGUUUUUAAUAAUUACUGUUAGGAGAGGAUAAUAUGAGUAAAAGUAAUACAUCCCAGUCACAAUUGUUUAGUUUGCUGUUUAUUGCUCGUAAGUGUUAACUGUCUGUAGGCAAUAUUUUGCUUAUUUCUUGUCAUGUAUUGUUUUUUUGUAAACAGCUUUGCAGCUUUUUCUUUCCUGUACAGUAGGCUAUGUACGGUAAUUGAUAAGGUUGAUGGUUUUGUAAGAUUAAUCACAUUUUGUGUUACCCUGAGAUUAUAAAAUGACAUACUGAAUGAUUCACUUUAUACCUCAAUGAAUCUGCCGUUUGAAUGAAUGAUUUAAUGUCUUACUCUAAAGAUACUUGAUACACCUGCUGGCUGUUUUACUUUCGUAUUGUUGCUGUAUUCUAACUUCAUAUAUUUAAAACAUUAAUAUUAUAGUGUUAUGCAAUUAUAUAUAUGUAGCUUGUUGCAUAUUGUGUUUAUUCAGAAUUAUAUAGCAGAAACAUAUAAAGGUGUCCUGUAUAGAAAGAUGUUACCCAGCUGACAGUUAAACAGUUUCACCUGUACAAGUGAACGCUGAGCAUCAGGCACAGCAACUAAUGAGGCGUAUUAUGACAUCCACACCCCUCUUCGACUGAUUGGCUGAGGAGGAGCUGUCAAUCAAGAACUACUGGACCAGUGAUGACGCUUGAGCCCGCCCUGAUUUACAUGAAACACUAACCGCAACAUUUGGAAAAGCAAGCGCAGAACGUGGAAACAAGCGUGAAGGUUAUAAAACAACGGGAAGAAUUGCCAUCGGACUAAACCCACAGCUGACAACCAGAGACGCAGACACACACACACACACACACACACACACGGAAAGAGCACCG